Long non-coding RNA from Apodemus sylvaticus (European woodmouse), 1978 nucleotides. RefSeq lists it as uncharacterized. Lineage: Eukaryota; Metazoa; Chordata; Mammalia; Rodentia; Muridae. The transcript is spliced from 4 exons. The record is from RefSeq and is a predicted model, not a curated record.
CCUGGCUCGCUAGCCAGAGGUGGGUGCACUGGGCUAGAGGGCGGCUGGUCUCAACCAUGUCCUCAGCAAUGGAUGGAAGCCAGGAAGAGAAAACGCAGAACCUGCCAGAUGGGGCCUGGAAUUGACACAGCACAUCUGCCUUCAGCUCCUAAUGCGAUGUGCCUUCUGGGUGCCUAAGUGACCUCUGGAUCCCUCCUAAGGUCCCUGAACAGCCCAGCAAGCAGGAAGUUAACAGUGCCCCGAGUGGCCCGGGGAAGGGGAAGCCAGGACAUGCCAGUGUCUGCACUGUAUAGUCUGUGUCACCCUGCCCCUAGAUCCCCAGACUGGACCGAAUAUUAAAGCUGAGGAGGAACUCAAGCAAGGUCACAAGGGGUAAACUGAGUCCUGGUCCUCACACCGUCCUGUGAGUUCAACAUGGUGACCUUUGAAAAGUCAUCAGGAAACAAUCUGUUCAUUGGUCAGAACUGGCCACAUGGUGCAGCCUUACUUUAAGGAGGAAGUUAAGACUCCCCAGUGCCCAGGAAGGAAGAACCAAAUACAGGCAUUCCCAGAGAAGAAGAAAUACAUCUGUUUCAUCCAUGAGAGAAGUGAAGUUCACAGAGAACGCAGAGUGGCUGGAUGGCUUUGGAGGUGGAAGAUGAGGACAGGUGUGCGCUACAAGUGGCUGCUGGGAUCUGAAGUCUUUGGAGAGGCUGCAGUCACCAAGUCCCUUCUCUAAAGAAGAUAAGGAUGCCUGCGAGCCUCAAGACACAGGACUCUUAAGAGGAAGCCAGGGCACCUGUAGUCAUGGAAGCCACCGGGAAACGGGAAGUGGCUGGAUCUGAGGUCGGUAUGUCCCUCCACUUUCUCAGGUCUCCUCGUUUAAUCUGAAGAGAGGCUACCUAAAACUGGAGGAGGCAGGCAAAUUUCCCAAGUCAUCCAAAACGCAUCAGUGGCAGCAGCAACUUGAAUCUGGUCUUUAAAAAAUGGUUCAGAUACAUUUUUUUCACGUUUAUGUCUCCGCGCGCAUCACAGCACGCGCGUGGAAGUCUGAGGACAAACCCGGAAUCUGUUUACACUAGGCGGAGCCCGGGGAUUGAACUGGGUCUUCUGGGUUGGCGGCAGGUGCCUUUCUUUACUCGCGGUUUGGAUCCAGUCUUGAGGGGCGGUGGGGACCAUGCACGCAGAAUAUCCGCGAGUAGCGGCGGGCGCGCGCGGCAUUUCUCCCGCUCGCCGGGCGGCGGAAGGUCCCGGCGGGGACAGAGGCGGACAGCCCGCGGGCCCGGAGCCGAGCGUGAGAGCCGCCGCCCCGGGUCCCGCUCGCGCUGCCUUGCACAACGCGCCGGGAUAAGCGCCGCGUCUCGGGGCAAUUACCGCCCUGCCCCGCCGCCGCCGGGGCUGCCUGGGCCGGGGGCCAGAGGCCGAGGGACUCACAACCACCCAGGGAGCGCGGGCCGACCGAGCGGGCGGCCACCAGCGCGCCCGGCGAUUUCACAACGCGCGGCCGGGGGCGGUGGCUGCGGCGCGCUGACGUCACGGACAGGCCACGCCCCUACGGAGGGAGCGGUCUUCGCGGAAGAUAAAUUGUGUCCCUUUGGUAUGUCCUUUUCCUUCUUGUCUCCUUUUCUUGCCUUUUUUUUUUUUUUUCCUUUCUGGCAUCUCUUUCCCAAUCCUCUCUCCUUCCUCUCAUUUCCUCCUUCCCUUCCAUUCUCUUUCCUUCCUAUUUCCUGCCCUUUCUUUCUGCCCACUCUCCUUCUCCUCCUCUUUCUCCUUGCUUCUCUUCUUUUCUUUCCUUCUUCCUCUUGCUUUCUAACAUUCUACAAUGUUUAAAUUUCAUCUUUACUAUGAAACAAUCCAUAAAAUCUGCUUUCUCUCUCUCUCUCUCUCUCCCCUCUUUUCUCUUUCCUCUGCCACCUUGCUCUUUUCUCUCUCAAUAAACCUCACAUGGAACUGUAAAAGACAUAAAAAAUAAAAAUAAAAACUUGCUAUCUCAACUAAA